CUCAAUGAAAUUUUAAUAGCCGCAAUUAUAUGUGCUAAGGUAGCAUAAUCAUUUGUCUUUUAAUUAAAGACCAGCACGAAAGAUUAAAUAUUUUNAUUUCUUUCUUAUAUAUAAAUUUACAAUUUAUUUUAAAUAUAAAAAAAUAUUUAUAUUUUAAAAAGACGACAAGACCCUAUUGAACUUAACUAUAGUUAAACUGGGGUAGUUAAUUAAACACAAUUUUAAUUUUAAAACUUAAAAACUUCUAAUAAAAUUAAAUAAAUCAAGUUACCAUAGGGAUAACAGCGUAAUAAUUACUUCAAGAUCUUAUUUAAAAAAUUGAUUGCGACCUCGAUGUUGAAUUAAUAAUCUAUUAAAUGCAAUAAUUUAAUAAGAAAGUCUGUUCGACUU
Molecule: ribosomal RNA, 390 nt
Filed under: Draconarius sp. ZZ252
Lineage: Eukaryota; Metazoa; Arthropoda; Arachnida; Araneae; Agelenidae
Description: partial 16S ribosomal RNA
Source: RNAcentral